AGCGAACGCUGGCGGCAGGCUUAACACAUGCAAGUCGAACGCCCCGCAAGGGGAGUGGCAGACGGGUGAGUAACACGUGGGAACGUACCCUUCGGUUCGGAAUAACUUGGGGAAACUCAAGCUAAUACCGGAUAAGCCCUUAGGGGGAAAGGUUUACUGCCGAAGGAUCGGCCCGCGUCUGAUUAGCUAGUUGGUGAGGUAAUGGCUCACCAAGGCGACGAUCACUAGCUGGUCUGAGAGGAUGAUCAGCCACACUGGGACUGAGACACGGCCCAGAGUCCUACGGGAGGCAGCAGUGGGGAAUAUUGGACAAUGGGGGCAACCCUGAUCCAGCCAUGCCGCGUGAGUGAUGAAGGCCUUAGGGUUGUAAAGCUCUUUUACCCGGGACGAUAAUGACUGUACCGGGAGAAUAAGCCCCGGCUAACUUCGUGCCAGCCGCCGCCGUAA
Molecule: ribosomal RNA, 447 nt
Filed under: uncultured bacterium
Lineage: Bacteria
Description: partial 16S ribosomal RNA
Rfam family: Bacterial small subunit ribosomal RNA
Source: RNAcentral